GGAGAGGUGGCCGAGUAAGGCUUAAGGCGCUCGCCUGCUAAGCGAGUGAGUGGGGAAACUCACUUCGAGGGUUCGAAUCCCUCCCUCUCCGCCA
This 94-nucleotide transfer RNA is filed under the name bacterium. RNAcentral describes it as "tRNA-Ser". It matches the Rfam family "tRNA". From Rfam's summary of the family: Transfer RNA (tRNA) molecules are approximately 80 nucleotides in length. Their secondary structure includes four short double-helical elements and three loops (D, anti-codon, and T loops). RNAcentral also lists the same sequence under 1 other name. The record is from RNAcentral.